GCCGCAUGUCUGGCAGCGGUAAGUCCCUGAACCUUUGACAUCACUAGAUAAUUUACGCCUUAAGCACUGCCUUCUAAGCAGUCGGUCGUGUGUUCGAAUCACACAGGGGGCG
Molecule: transfer RNA, 112 nt
Filed under: Synechococcus sp. AH-224-I15
Lineage: Bacteria; Bacillati; Cyanobacteriota; Cyanophyceae; Synechococcales; Synechococcaceae
Description: tRNA-Arg
Source: RNAcentral